AGUGAACGCUGGCGGUAGGCCUAACACAUGCAAGUCGAACGGCAGCACAGUAAGAGCUUGCUCUUACGGGUGGCGAGUGGCGGACGGGUGAGGAAUACAUCGGAAUCUACUUUUUCGUGGGGGAUAACGUAGGGAAACUUACGCUAAUACCGCAUACGACCUACGGGUGAAAGCAGGGGAUCUUCGGACCUUGCGCGAUUGAAUGAGCCGAUGUCGGAUUGGCUAGUUGGCGGGGUAAAGGCCCACCAAGGCGACGAUCCGUAGCUGGUCUGAGAGGAUGAUCAGCCACACUGGAACUGAGACACGGUCCAGACGCCUACGGGAGGCAGCAGUGGGGAAUAUGGGACAAUGGGCGCAAGCCUGAUCCAGCCAUACCGCGUGGGUGAAGAAGGCCUUCGGGUUGUAAAGCCCUUUUGUUGGGAAAGAAAAGCAGCAGGUUAAUACCCCGCUGUUCUGACGGUACCCAAAGAAUAAGCACCGGCUAACUUCGUG
RNAcentral lists this ribosomal RNA (492 nucleotides) under uncultured bacterium. RNAcentral's name for it is "partial 16S ribosomal RNA". It matches the Rfam family "Bacterial small subunit ribosomal RNA", at positions 29 to 507 of the family's 1533-position model. The record is from RNAcentral.